Molecule: long non-coding RNA, 727 nt
Filed under: Homo sapiens (human)
Lineage: Eukaryota; Metazoa; Chordata; Mammalia; Primates; Hominidae
Description: non-protein coding lnc-DGCR6-6:17
Source: RNAcentral
GCACAAUCUAAAGUGUAGGGCUGGAAUGAAUGAAUGAGCUCUCUAGGCGAGCAAAGCCUUUCAGGGCUGAUGUCCCUCGGUCCCACGAGCCAGGCCUCCGCAGGCUGAGCACUGAGCGCUGUCUGUCUGACCAGAACAUCAUCCACUCGGGCAGUGCCCUCCUGGCCCCGGCCACCAGGGCAGCGUGGGAGCAGAUCCAGCGGAGCGAGGGUGGCACGGCACAGCUGCUCCGGCGCCUCGAGGGCUACUUCAGCAAUGUGGCACGCAACGUGCAGUGGACGUACCUGCAGCCCUUUGUCAUCGUCACCACCAACAUGAGUAAGGCACUGGCUGCGUUGGGGGUGGAGGCCUGCAACCCUCAGGGGUGCGCCCAGGAGCUGGGUCCCCAUGGGUGGAGCAGGUGGGCUCCCGGCCCCCACUUGGCCAUGCUCUUAGAAAAAUGAUUCAGAGGCUGGGCGCAGUGGCUCACGCCUAUAAUCCCAGAACUUUUGGAGGCCGAGACAGGCAGAUCACAUGCAGUCAGGAGUUGGAGACCAGCCUGGGCAACAUGGUGAAACCCUGUCUCUACUAAAAAUGCAAAAAGUAGCCAGGUGUGAUGGUGCAUGCCUGUAAUCCCAGCUACUUGGGAGGCUGAGGCAGGAGAAUCACUUGAACCUGGGAGGCAGAGGUUGCAGUGGGCCAAGAUUGCACUAUUGCAUUCCAGCCUGGGUGACGGGGAGACUCUGUC